UGCUAUGCCGACAUGUUGUCAU
RNAcentral lists this microRNA (22 nucleotides) under Ornithorhynchus anatinus (platypus). RNAcentral describes it as "oan-miR-31-3p". Its record names the gene oan-miR-31-3p. Lineage: Eukaryota; Metazoa; Chordata; Mammalia; Monotremata; Ornithorhynchidae. The record is from miRBase by way of RNAcentral.